AGGAGAGAGAUCCAUGUUCCCCAGGUAAUGGAUUAGGGACAUGCUGGAGGAGAGAGAGAUCCAUGUUCCUCAGGUAAUGGAUUAGGGACAUGCUGGAGGACAGAGAGAUCCAUGUUCCUCAGGUAAUGGAUUAGGGACAUGCUGGAGGACAGAGAGAUCCAUGGUCCCCAGGUAAUGGAUUAGGGACAAGCUGGAGGAGAGAGAUCCAUGUUCCUCAGGUAAUGGAUUAGGGACAUGCUGGAGGACAGAGAGAUCCAUGUUCCUCAGGUAAUGGAUUAGAGACAUGCUGGAGGACAGAGAGAUCCAUGGUCCCCAGGUAAUGGAUUAGGGACAAGCUGGAGAUGGAAGGAGAUGGGAGGAUGAUGACACAGCAGUAGAGCUCUGUGGGGAAGCACCUGGUACAUGUCAGUGAUGGUGAGAGCAACUCCCUGCUACCUUCAGGAAACUCCUAUCUGUAACUUCUCUUGAUUCACACACAUGUUUUGGUAUUGUUAGAGUUGUAUUCAAACUCAAAAUUACUUUUUUUUUUUGAGAUUUUAUUUAUUGUGCUUUUCAUUUUGUUUUGGCUUCAUUUGAUUUGGGGUUAAAAUUACUCAUGGAGGUAAUAUUUUAAAGUUAGUUCUUUAAAACUAAAAUCCAUGAGUCUGUCAUGCCUCUGUUGUUUUCCCUGAUUAGAAUGGCUUUUCUCCCCUGGCUGGCUGCUGGGCUGGAGUUCCGUGUUGCAGAACAGGCAGUGUUCAGUGACCAGAUGAGUAUAAAACAUCCCAGGACAGGCAGUAACAGCACACAAAUCUUGUAAAUAAUGUCUCAUAAAUCUGAGGGAGCAAACAAGGUUUGCUGAGUUUGUCUUGUUGACAGGUGAAGUUGGGAGGCUCCUCCAUGCUUGGUUCACUCUUUCCCUGCUGUAUCAGGGGGAAGAUUUAUCUGUGUGCUGAGGAACCCUGAGCAGUGAUCUUACUGCAUCACCUAGGAAAGGAACAGGAGGGGCUGCCAGUUCCUCUCUCCCCACCUUGCCUAACCAGUGAAUCAGAGGGAGAGUUGUGUUCCACCCUGGUAGGUUGUGUUCCUGCUCACAGGAAGGAAAGCUUGUGCUGAUUAAUGAGAAUUAUGCUGUGAGCAAUAAAAAAAUAAUUCCUCUAAAUUCUCUAGAACUUGCACUAUUUCUUAUAAACAAGAUUUUUAAAAAGCCAGGCAGUAAUGAGGGGCACCUGAUGAGAUUUGAGCAAACAUGCUCCUGGUGUUAGUCUAAGAGACACGAUGCCUGUUGCCAAUAGGUGCAUGGAUUUGGAUAUUGACCAAAUAUAUUUGGUCAAUUUGGUAUAUUUUUGUUUUUCACACAUUUCAGAUGUUUCUUUGUGUAACAUGGGCAACAUUGUUCCUCCUAACAUCUCUUACUUCUUAUCUUCCUCUG
Molecule: long non-coding RNA, 1411 nt
Organism: Serinus canaria (Common canary)
Lineage: Eukaryota; Metazoa; Chordata; Aves; Passeriformes; Fringillidae
Exons: 3
Source: RefSeq, a predicted model, not a curated record